Molecule: ribosomal RNA, 703 nt
Filed under: Paracoccaceae bacterium
Lineage: Bacteria; Pseudomonadati; Pseudomonadota; Alphaproteobacteria; Rhodobacterales; Paracoccaceae
Description: bacterial SSU rRNA
Rfam family: Bacterial small subunit ribosomal RNA
Source: RNAcentral
GAGCGCGCCUUCGGGUGAGCGGCGGACGGGUUAGUAACGCGUGGGAACGUGCCCUUCUCUACGGAAUAGCCUCUGGAAACGGAGAGUAAUACCGUAUACGCCCUUUGGGGGAAAGAUUUAUCGGAGAAGGAUCGGCCCGCGUUAGAUUAGGUAGUUGGUGGGGUAACGGCCUACCAAGCCUACGAUCUAUAGCUGGUUUUAGAGGAUGAUCAGCAACACUGGGACUGAGACACGGCCCAGACUCCUACGGGAGGCAGCAGUGGGGAAUCUUAGACAAUGGGGGCAACCCUGAUCUAGCCAUGCCGCGUGAGUGAUGAAGGCCUUAGGGUCGUAAAGCUCUUUCGCCUGUGAUGAUAAUGACAGUAGCAGGUAAAGAAACCCCGGCUAACUCCGUGCCAGCAGCCGCGGUAAUACGGAGGGGGUUAGCGUUGUUCGGAAUUACUGGGCGUAAAGCGCGCGUAGGCGGAUUAGAAAGUUGGGGGUGAAAUCCCGGGGCUCAACCCCGGAACUGCCUCCAAAACUGCUAGUCUAGAGUUCGAGAGAGGUGAGUGGAAUUCCGAGUGUAGAGGUGAAAUUCGUAGAUAUUCGGAGGAACACCAGUGGCGAAGGCGGCUCACUGGCUCGAUACUGACGCUGAGGUGCGAAAGUGUGGGGAGCAAACAGGAUUAGAUACCCUGGUAGUCCACACCGUAAACGAUGAAUG